AUGAUUCAUGUGCAGGGCUUGCAGGGCAAGAUCAAGAUAGUCGCGCUAGAUCUCGUGGACAGGCCAGCCUGGUACAAGGACAAGGUCUACCCAGAGAACAAGGUACCUGCCCUGGAGCUCAACAAGCAAGUGAAAGGAGAGAGCCUGAAUCUGCUCAAGUACAUCGACGACAAUUUCGAUGGCCCAGAGUUGCUCCCUCAUGAUUCUGCAAAGAAGAUGUUUGCCGAGGAACUGCUUGCGUACAGCGACAGUUUCAACGCCAGUGCUUUCUUUUCAUGCCUACGCUCCAUGGGAGAUGUGACCGACGAAGCUGUUGCCGCUGUUGAUAAAAUAGAAGCUGCCCUAGGGAAGUUCAGCGAUGGCCCAUUCUUCCUUGGCCAGUUCAGUCUGGUUGACAUUGCAUAUGUGCCAUUCAUCGAAAGGCUUCAGAUAUCCUAUUCUGGCAUCAAGAACUACGAUAUCGUUGGGGGCAGACCCAACCUUGGCAGAUUCAUCGAGGAAGUCAACAAGAUCAACGCAUAUACACAAACCAAACUGGACACACAAGUUACACUUGACAUAAUAAAAGAGAAGUUCGGAGUACGUUAUCUUCCAAUUUUUUAG
This 603-nucleotide ribosomal RNA is filed under the name Triticum aestivum (bread wheat). RNAcentral's name for it is "partial small subunit ribosomal RNA". Lineage: Eukaryota; Viridiplantae; Streptophyta; Magnoliopsida; Poales; Poaceae. The record is from RNAcentral.